This 731-nucleotide ribosomal RNA is filed under the name uncultured bacterium. RNAcentral's name for it is "bacterial SSU rRNA". It matches the Rfam family "Bacterial small subunit ribosomal RNA", at positions 8 to 787 of the family's 1533-position model. The record is from RNAcentral.
AGAGUUUGAUCAUGGCUCAGAACGAACGCUGGCGGCACGCCUAACACAUGCAAGUCGAGCGCACCUUCGGGUGAGCGGCGGACGGGUUAGUAACGCGUGGGAACAUACCCUUCUCUAAGGAAUAGCCACUGGAAACGGUGAGUAAUACCUUAUACGCCCUUCGGGGGAAAGAUUUAUCGGAGAUGGAUUGGCCCGCGUUAGAUUAGAUAGUUGGUGGGGUAACGGCCUACCAAGUCUACGAUCUAUAGCUGGUUUUAGAGGAUGAUCAGCAACACUGGGACUGAGACACGGCCCAGACUCCUACGGGAGGCAGCAGUGGGGAAUCUUAGACAAUGGGCGAAAGCCUGAUCUAGCGAUGCCGCGUGAGUGAUGAAGGCCUUAGGGUCGUAAAGCUCUUUCGCCAGGGAUGAUAAUGACAGUACCUGGUAAAGAAACCCCGGCUAACUCCGUGCCAGCAGCCGCGGUAAUACGGAGGGGGUUAGCGUUGUUCGGAAUUACUGGGCGUAAAGCGCACGUAGGCGGACUAUUAAGUGAGGGGUGAAAUCCCAGGGCUCAACCCUGGAACUGCCUCUCAUACUGGUAGUCUUGAGUUCGAGAGAGGUGAGUGGAAUUCCGAGUGUAGAGGUGAAAUUCGUAGAUAUUCGGAGGAACACCAGUGGCGAAGGCGGCUCACUGGCUCGAUACUGACGCUGAGGUGCGAAAGUGUGGGGAGCAAACAGGAUUAGAUACCC